CAGCCUCAUUACGUAUUCCAAAUACCUUUCAUGUGUCCUUACUCAAACCUCUUGUGUGCAAUAAAUAUACUGUCUCAAGUGUCCCUCCUCCUCUCUUAGUUGUUUCUGGACAGGAAGAGUAUAAGGUCUCCUCCAUAAUUGAUUCCAGGUUUUCUCGCGGCACUUUACAAUACUUGGUAGAUUGGAAAGGUUAUGGACCAGCCG
Molecule: non-coding RNA, 204 nt
Organism: Pelobates cultripes (western spadefoot toad)
Lineage: Eukaryota; Metazoa; Chordata; Amphibia; Anura; Pelobatidae
Source: the annotation of a GenBank genome assembly